Molecule: ribosomal RNA, 253 nt
Filed under: uncultured bacterium
Lineage: Bacteria
Description: partial 16S ribosomal RNA
Rfam family: Bacterial small subunit ribosomal RNA
Source: RNAcentral
GACAGAGGGUGCAAACGUUGUUCGGAAUUACUGGGCGUAAAGCGCGUGUAGGCGGCCCUGCAAGUCGGAUGUGAAAUCCCACGGCUCAACCGUGGAAGUGCAUUCGAAACUGCAGGGCUAGAGUCCUGGAGAGGAAGGUGGAAUGCUUGGUGUAGAGGCGAAAUUCGUAGAUAUCAAGCGGAACACCGGUGGCGAAGGCGGCCUUCUGGACAGUGACUGACGCUGAGACGCGAAAGCGUGGGGAGCAAACAGG